This 74-nucleotide transfer RNA is filed under the name Camelus bactrianus (Bactrian camel). It matches the Rfam family "tRNA". From Rfam's summary of the family: Transfer RNA (tRNA) molecules are approximately 80 nucleotides in length. Their secondary structure includes four short double-helical elements and three loops (D, anti-codon, and T loops). Further hydrogen bonds mediate the characteristic L-shaped molecular structure. tRNAs have two regions of fundamental functional importance: the anti-codon, which is responsible for specific mRNA codon recognition, and the 3' end, to which the tRNAs corresponding amino acid is attached (by aminoacyl-tRNA synthetases). tRNAs cope with the degeneracy of the genetic code in two manners: having more than one tRNA (with a specific anti-codon) for a particular amino acid; and 'wobble' base-pairing, i.e. permitting non-standard base-pairing at the 3rd anti-codon position. The record is from Rfam by way of RNAcentral. Lineage: Eukaryota; Metazoa; Chordata; Mammalia; Artiodactyla; Camelidae. RNAcentral also lists the same sequence under 2 other names.
GAGGGUAUAGCUCAAGAGGUAGAGCACAUAUUUAGCAUGCGCAAGGUCCUGGGUUCAAUUCCCCAGUACCUCCU